GGCAGUGGCGGACGGGUGAGUAACACGUAGGAAUCUGCCCCGAGGUGGGGAAUAACUGACCGAAAGGUUAGCUAAUACCGCAUACGAUCCGGGAGGAUGAAAGGCGCAAGUCGCCUUGGGAUGAGCCUGCGUCCGAUUAGCUAGUUGGUGGGGUAAUGGCCCACCAAGGCAGAGAUCGGUAGCUGAUCUGAGAGGAUGAUCAGCCACACUGGAACUGAGAUACGGUCCAGACUCCUACGGGAGGCAGCAGUAAGGGAUAUUGCACAAUGGGCGAAAGCUUGAUGCAGCAACGCCGCGUGCGCGAAGAAGGCCUUCGGGUCGUAAAGCGCUUUUCCAGGGGAAGAGGAAGGACAGUACCCUGGGAAUAAGUCUCGGCUAACUACGUGCCAGCAGCCGCGGUAAGACGUAGGAGGCGAGCGUUAUCCGGAUUUACUGGGCGUAAAGGGCAAGUAGGCGGCGGCAGAAGUUGUGCGUGAAAUCUCCCGGCUCAACUGGGAGGGAGCGUGCAAAACUGGGUCGCUAGAUGGCAGAAGAGGAGAGCAGAAUUCCUGGUGUAGCGGUGGAAUGCUCAGAUACCAGGAGGAAUACCAGUGGCGAAGGCGGCUCUCUGGUCUGAACCUGACGCUGAGAGGCGAAAGCUAGGGGAGCGAACGGGCUUAGAUACCCCGGUAGUCCUAGCUGUAAACGUUGGGUACUAGGUAAUGGGGGGUAUAAACCCCUCAGUGCCGAAGCAAACGCGUUAAGUACCCCGCCUGGGGACUACGGCCGCAAGGUUAAAACUCAAAGGAAUUGACGGGAGCCCGCACAAGCAGCGGAGCGUGUGGUUUAAUUCGAUGCAACACGAAGAACCUUACCUGGGUUUGACAUGUAUGUAGUAGGGAAGCGAAAGCGGACCGACCCGCAAGGGAGCAUACACAGGUGCUGCAUGGCUGUCGUCAGCUCGUGCCGUGAGGUGUUGGGUUAAGUCCUCUAACGAGCGCAACCCUCGUUGCCAGUUAAAGAUUUCUGGCGAGACUGCCGGGAUAUAACCGGAGGAAGGUGGGGAUGACGUCAAGUCAGCAUGGCCUUUAUAUCCAGGGCUACACACACGCUACAAUGGUCGGUACAGAGGGAAGCCAAGCCGCGAGGCGGAGCUAAUCUCACAAAGCCGAUCUCAGUUCAGAUUGCAGGCUGCAACCCGCCUGCAUGAAGUUGGAGUUGCUAGUAACCGCAGGUCAGCCAUACUGCGGUGAAUACGUUCCCGGGCUUUGUACACACCGCCCGUCACGUCAUGGAAGCUGGGAAUACCUAAAAGCAGUGAGCUAACCGCAAGGGGGCAGCUGUCUAAGGUAGGUCUAGUGACUGGGACGAAGUCGUAACAAGGUAGCGUACCGGAAGGUGUGGCUGGAUCACCUCCUU
RNAcentral lists this ribosomal RNA (1398 nucleotides) under uncultured bacterium. RNAcentral's name for it is "16S ribosomal RNA". It matches the Rfam family "Bacterial small subunit ribosomal RNA". The record is from RNAcentral.